Molecule: ribosomal RNA, 377 nt
Filed under: uncultured bacterium
Lineage: Bacteria
Description: bacterial SSU rRNA
Rfam family: Bacterial small subunit ribosomal RNA
Source: RNAcentral
UAAUACGUACCGUCCAAACGUUAUUCGGAAUUACUGGGCUUAAAGGGUGCGUAGGCUGUGCAGAAAGUUGGGUGUGAAAUCCCCCGGCUCAACCGGGGAAUGGCGCUCAAAACUACUGUGCUCGAGGAAGACAGAGGUAAGCGGAACUUCGGGUGGAGCGGUGAAAUGCGUUGAUAUCCGAAGGAACACCGGUGGCGAAAGCGGCUUACUGGGUCUUUUCUGACGCUGAUGCACGAAAGCUAGGGUAGCGAACGGGAUUAGAUACCCCGGUAGUCCUAGCCGUAAACGAUGAGCACUGGGUUGGAGGGUCCCUCAUAGCCUUCCAGCCGCAGCGAAAGUGUUAAGUGCUCCGCCUGGGGAGUAUGGUCGCAAGGCUG